CCUGGUGGCUCAGAUGGUAAAGCAUCUGACUGCAAUUCAGGAGUCUCAGGUUCAAUCCCUGGGUCAGGA
RNAcentral lists this transfer RNA (69 nucleotides) under Ovis aries (sheep). It matches the Rfam family "tRNA". Rfam says of the family: Transfer RNA (tRNA) molecules are approximately 80 nucleotides in length. Their secondary structure includes four short double-helical elements and three loops (D, anti-codon, and T loops). The record is from Rfam by way of RNAcentral. Lineage: Eukaryota; Metazoa; Chordata; Mammalia; Artiodactyla; Bovidae.